Molecule: non-coding RNA, 2699 nt
Organism: Manis javanica (Malayan pangolin)
Lineage: Eukaryota; Metazoa; Chordata; Mammalia; Pholidota; Manidae
Source: RefSeq, a predicted model, not a curated record
AUCGUGUCCUCUCAGGAUUUCCCGUCUGGGGGCAAAUGGGUGGCCAUUAAAGGGACAGGUCACCGUGUAAGGAUUUUACUUAAUUAACAAUGUGCAUUAACUGGGGCUUAGGCCACGGAGCUAUUUGCUUUGUAGAAUCUCGACUCGUUCUCACCUCUGCCUCAGACUCGCCUGGCAUCAGAGGGCGAUGUGCUCUUUCGUACCUUGCUCUCAUUUUCUGGGCUGCGGUAAUGUAGCACGGGGGAGAUGGAGAAAAGGUCUAAAGCCCCUACGACGGUGGGAAGGACAGUCAGCUCCGGUCAGUGAGGGUCUUGGAAAGGCUAAGGUACGUGAGCAAAGCGGAGUGUGGAUGCUGCGUGCAGUGUUAGGGGUCCCCAGGAAAUGUCCACGAGCCCCUCUGUGGACGGGGCUGAGGAGGGGUGGCCAGAACUGUAGGCCUGGUGUGCCCAGGCCGCCCUCGCCAGCCUCCCCCAGCUCAGGAGGUGGCGGCCCCAGGGCUGAGUGUGUGGCUCCGCUGGGGGCUCGCCCCACCCCUGCUCACAGAGGCCCUGCUGUGUCGUCGGGUCUCCAAGGUGCCAGGUGGACGUGGCCUCAGUCACCACGCUGAAGCAGGAUGCCGAGCGACCUCCUGUGGAGGUCAUGCCCUCCUAGCUGGGCGCCCUCCUCGGCCCAUGGUUGGGGCGGACUGGGCACUGGCAUGUGCUGAGAAAGGGCAGACCCCUGCCAGUCUGUACCUGUGCCCCCCUCCUUCUCUCUGGGCUGCCAGCAGAGCGCCCCAGGCCCAAGGGGCGUGCUGGAACUGAAUGCCCCUCUCCUGAGGGUGGAUCAGAAGCUUUGAAAGCCAUGGGCCACCCCGUGCUCUGAGCUAUCUUCUCUUAAACCCAAGAACUGUGAUAGAGGACUGGCCACGGCUGCCUCUGGGCAGCGGGCAGGCGGGGCAGCCCCUCCACCCACUUGAGCCAUCUCCCCAGGAGCUCCUAGCCUGGAGGGAGAGCUGCCCGCCUUUCCCCUCGUGCAGGCCGAUGCUGGCUGAGCAGAGGACAUGCCAGUCCCAGCCCAGCUGCCUGCGCAGCCCUUGACUCGGCUGGACACUCUUCUGGGGGCCUCCGGCCUCCGGUCCCAGCAACUCAGGUUUUCAAGGGUGGUACUGACGAGGGGUGAGUUCCACCAUCUCACUUGGUCUUUGGACCCCUGUCCUUACACCUCUAUGAGGAGGGGUGUGGCCCCUAUCUGCUCGUCGGUCAUGGCAGCCACCCUCCCCACGUGGCCACUGAGCCCUGGACACAUGGCUGUGUGACUAAGGGGCUGAAUUUUAGUUGCUUUAUUUUAAUCGACUUUAGCAGUUCACAUGUGCCAGGGGCUCCUGUGUCAGCGUCUGUGUGUAAAACCGACCCCACCGAGGGCAGAUCCCUCUGUGCAGGUGGGGGGUAGGGGAGCGGCCAGCAGCCAGGGCUGGUGAUGGGCUUGGCCGUGGGCAAGCAGGUGCAGGCUGCGCCAGGCCAACACCCUUGCCGUGUAGAUGGCAGGCAGAGCCCGUCCGAGCCUCGGCCUCAGACGGCUGGGGCAUGCUUGAUGCCGAGGCGGCAGCUUCCGCUCCCACAGUGGGUCGUCGCAGUCCAGUCCCACGUGGGGUGCACCAAGGAGCGGUCCUGGGGGAAUUGGUUCCCUCCGCCGGUGGCCAGGCCUCUGCCGACCCGGAGCCAGCACUGCUCUUGGGAGCAGGCAGAGGGGACGCCCGACCAGCAGGCAGGAGACGGAGAGGGCCUGGCGUCUCCACGGAGCGGCGAGCUGGGAACCUGGGUGGGGAGCCGGGUCUGCAGGGAUGGGCCCGGCGAGGCCGGAGCACCCUGCCAGGGGCUGCAGCCGGCCUGGACGAGGCCCCCAGGGUGCCGCACUCCCCCACCUGGCUUCCCUGGGCCCCAGGCGGCUGCACAGGAACAGCUUGAGGCCCUGGGUGAGGGAAAGGCCUCCUUGGCCCUGGAGCGAGAUGCUGUGAUGUGAAACACCGACUCGUGCGGCGGCAGAUGCGUGGGCUCCCGAGGAAGCCACAGGUUGGAGAGAGCAGGCUUGGUUUCUCCCCUAGGACGCCAGCCUCUGCCCCCAGCAGGGCUGCUCCUCUGCCAGGGCACAGCUGCUGAUGGGGGUGCAGCCCUGGUGCCUGCAGGGCUCGCCCACCUGGCCCCACACCAGUGUCCCCGGCCCCCAGGUGCCCUGCAUGUGGGCAGAGGGCAGCGGUGGGCCUUUCUGGCAGCUUGGCCAGCUUGGCGUCCGCUGCCCCAUCUCAGGCAGUUCAUGCUGGUCUCGCAGGACAGAGGGGCUGUGCUUGGAGCCCCACUGCAGCCCUGCGCCCUCUGAGCCCCUUCCUGACCACUGUGAGCAGGACCCCGGCCACGCCCACCAGCCCCGUCCUUGAACUAGCUGACCGUGGGACCAAGUGACUGUCUCAGACACGCAAGACGGUGGACGGUCGAGGUUCGGAGGCUGAACUGACGGGGCUCCAGCUUGUCUCCUGGGAGAUGCAAAGCGUAGCGUGUGAGUGCUAGACAGAAAAGAAGGAGAAGGAGGAGUGUGCCCUGUGCCCUCAUCCAGGGCAAGGACCCGUAUGUCGCAGGACGGCCGUGACCCCCAGCAGCAAGGCCAGCCUCAGGCAGACGCGAAUGGCAGCCUGCUCCUGGAGUGCCCACUCUGUUAUCAAAUUU